Molecule: transfer RNA, 69 nt
Filed under: Amycolatopsis eburnea
Lineage: Bacteria; Bacillati; Actinomycetota; Actinomycetes; Pseudonocardiales; Pseudonocardiaceae
Description: Amycolatopsis sp. GLM-1 tRNA-Ala
Rfam family: tRNA
About the family: Transfer RNA (tRNA) molecules are approximately 80 nucleotides in length.
Source: RNAcentral
GCAGGUCAGAAGGUCUUGCGCACCUCACUGGCAGUGAGGGGGUCAGGGGUUCGAGUCCCCUUAGCUCCA